GAUGAACGCUAGCGGCAGGCUUAACACAUGCAAGUCGAGGGGUAUAUAGUUUUCGGAUUAUAGAGACCGGCAAACGGGUGCGGAACACGUACGCAAUCUGCCUCUGUCUUGGGGAUAGCCCAUAGAAAUGUGGAUUAAUACCCAAUAGUAUUAUAGAGUGGCAUCACUUAGUAAUUAAAAGAUUUAUUGGACAGAGAUGAGCGUGCGUCCCAUUAGCUAGUUGGUGCGGUAACGGCGUACCAAGGCGACGAUGGGUAGCUGGUGUGAGAGCACGACCAGCCACACGGGCACUGAGACACGGGCCCGACUCCUACGGGAGGCAGCAGUGAGGAAUAUUGGUCAAUGGGCGGAAGCCUGAACCAGCCAUGCCGCGUGAAGGAUGAAGGCGUUCUGCGUUGUAAACUUCUUUAUUGGGUAAGAAAAUUGUGGUUUCUACUGCAACCGACGGUACCAGAUGAAUAAGCACCGGCUAACUCCGUGCCAGCAGCCGCGGU
This 494-nucleotide ribosomal RNA is filed under the name uncultured bacterium. RNAcentral's name for it is "bacterial SSU rRNA". It matches the Rfam family "Bacterial small subunit ribosomal RNA", at positions 28 to 521 of the family's 1533-position model. The record is from RNAcentral.